GACGAACGCUGGCGGCGUGCUUAACACAUGCAAGUCGAACGGAAAGGCCCUGCUUUUGUGGGGUGCUCGAGUGGCGAACGGGUGAGUAACACGUGCGUAACCUGCCCUUGACUUUGGGAUAACUUCAGGAAACUUGGGAUAAUACCGGAUAGGAGCUCCUGCUGCAUGGUGGGGGUUGGAAAGUUUCGGCGGUUUGGGAUGGACGCGCGGCUUAUCAGCUUGUUGGUGGGGUAGUGGCUUACCAAGGCUUUGACGGGUAGCCGGCCUGAGAGGGUGACCGGCGACAUUGGGACUGAGAGACGGCCCAGACUCCUACGUGAGGCAGCAGUGGGGAAUAUGGCACAAUGGGCGGAAGCCUGAUGCAGCAACGCCGCGUGCGGGAUGACGGCCUUCGGGUUGUAAACCGCUUUCGCCUGUGACGAAGCGUGAGUGACGGUAAUGGGUAAAGAAGCACCGGCUAACUACGUG
Molecule: ribosomal RNA, 468 nt
Filed under: uncultured bacterium
Lineage: Bacteria
Description: partial 16S ribosomal RNA
Rfam family: Bacterial small subunit ribosomal RNA
Source: RNAcentral